Molecule: long non-coding RNA, 877 nt
Organism: Peromyscus californicus insignis
Lineage: Eukaryota; Metazoa; Chordata; Mammalia; Rodentia; Cricetidae
Exons: 3
Source: RefSeq, a predicted model, not a curated record
UUUUCAUUGCAUAAUGUAUCACUGCAGAACUUAAGAGACUAAAAAUAAUCCUCUCUUGAUCUCUAAAGUCUGUAGAAUGUCUGUUUUUUGUUGUUCUUUUUUAAAAAAUCUCUUUUUGCUUUGAGAUUUCUCAUGUCUCUUCAAUCAGCUAUAAAUUUGUCUGAGAGUUGGGUGACCUUGGAUGAUUUCUUCAUAUCUGCAGAGACUGGAUACUAAGCUGAAAAGAAACUGUGAAUCUGUGAUAUCAAUACAUUUUCUUUAUUUUUACUAGGUUCAAAUAUUUCUGCUCAAUGACUGUGCUGCUAUGAUAAAGGACAUGGUUUCUUUGAAUAACAAUAACAGCUGACCAUCUUUCUGCUUUUCCUCUUGGACUACUCUGGCUGGGUUUGGGGUUCUAUUCAGUACUUGCUUUGCUGUGUAUCUGUCUUUGAUUUCCUCAUACCUGUACGUGACAUAAAUCAAGAUGUGGUACCAUGUGGGGCAUACAUGGGCUGCAAAGAGGGUGCCGAAAGAAAUUCAGAUAAAUAGAGCUUAAACUUUAAGCUGUUUACUCAGAGAAUGGAUACAAAUGGUACCAGAGGAAGUUAGUUUAAGCUGUUAGUGCAGAGAAUAGAUACAAAGGAUGGCUAAGAGGAAGUUAGCUUGGGUUGUUUGUAUGGAGAUUAAAGACAAAUGGUGAGAAAGGAAGUUAGCUCAAGUUAUUUAUGCUAAGAUAAGAUACUAAAAACAGGAGAUGAUGUCAAGACAUAAACAACUUGUAAAUAGGGUGACCUUUAAAAUGAUUGGUUGGUUCCUUCAACCCCUCCUAGGGAUCUGAGGGUUUCUGGUAUAAAAGAGGCUUACUACCUAUCAAUAAAGGAGUUCUUGCUUGACUUGA